RNAcentral lists this ribosomal RNA (230 nucleotides) under uncultured bacterium. RNAcentral describes it as "partial 16S ribosomal RNA". It matches the Rfam family "Bacterial small subunit ribosomal RNA", at positions 568 to 796 of the family's 1533-position model. The record is from RNAcentral.
UGCGUAGGCGGAAUAUUAAGUCAGUGGUGAAAUCCUGCGGCUCAACCGUAGAACUGCCAUUGAUACUGAUAUUCUUGAAUGUAGUUGAGGUAGGCGGAAUGUGUAAUGUAGCGGUGAAAUGCUUAGAUAUUACACAGAACACCGAUUGCGAAGGCAGCUUACUAAACUAUGAUUGACGCUGAGGCACGAAAGCGUGGGGAGCGAACAGGAUUAGAUACCCCUGGUAGUCC